Non-coding RNA from Chiloscyllium plagiosum (whitespotted bambooshark), 3661 nucleotides. The record is from RefSeq and is a predicted model, not a curated record. NCBI's taxonomy places the organism in Eukaryota, Metazoa, Chordata, Chondrichthyes, Orectolobiformes, Hemiscylliidae.
UCCUGAGUAUGGUCGCCAUUGGGUUAAACGCCUGAGAAAUCCGAGCGAGGAAGCUAAGUUGAAGAAGGGGGGUGGGAGGGUAGAAACUGCGGCCUCUGAGCUACUUAACCCGCCCCCGACAUCCAGCAGCCCGAGAGCCCUCUUCGGAAUCCGAGCCCGGUGCAAGUGGCGAUUAAUGAAGAAUGUCUGCGACAAGCGUUGACCCUCAGCGAGCGAAAGGACAAGAGAAUAAAGUGCAAAAUGGUUCGUUGCAUCAAAAGGACACAGUACACGACAAUGAUUUUGAGCCAUACCUAAGCAGCCAAUCUAAUCAGAGUAACAGCUAUCCUUCAAUGACUGAUCCAUAUUUGUCAAGUUAUUAUGCCCCGUCCAUUGGAUUCUCCUAUUCUCUUAGUGAAGCAGCACCAUGGUCCACUGGCGGUGAUCCUCCUAUUCCAUAUUUAACAACUUAUGGACAGCUGAGUAAUGGAGACCAUCAUUUCAUGCAUGAUGCUGUGUUUGGUCAGCCUGGGGGACUAGGGAGUACCCCAUAUUUAAACCAACAUAGAUUCAACUUUUUCCCUGAAAAUCCAGGGUUUUCUGCAUGGGGAACUGGUGGAUCUCAGGGACAACAAACACCAAGCUCAGCAUAUGGCAGUAGCUAUAGUUACCCACCUAGUUCUUUGGGAGGAACAAUAGUGGAUGGACAGGCAGGGUUUCCAAAUGAUACCUUAAAUAAGGCACCAGGCAUGAAUAGCAUUGAACAGGGGAUGGUUGGACUAAAGAUUGGAGCUGUGACAUCAUCAGGUGUAAAGACUGUAGGAUCUGUGGUAAACAGCCCAGGUAUGACCAACACAGCACCUGGAAAUGGCUCAACAGCUGGUGUAUCUGCUCCAAAGCCAACAUCAUGGGCUGCCAUUGCAAGUAAACCAGCCAAGCCUCAACCAAAAUUAAAACCAAAGACGGGAGCAGCAGUAGGAGGUUCAGCAUUACCUCCACCACCUAUAAAACACAAUAUGGACAUUGGUACAUGGGACAAUAAAGGACCUGUACCAAAAGCUCCUCCAACCCAUCAGACCCCUAAUACUCAGGCAGUUCCACAGCAGCAGUUGACUCAGCCCCCUCCAGCUCAGCCAUUACAACUUCCACAGCAACCUUAUCAGAAUCCUCAACAACCCCCACAGAACCGAUGGAUUGCCCCUCGCAAUAGAGGGGCAGCAUUUGGUCAAAAUAGCGGAACUGGUAAUGAAAGCAACUCGGUGGGUAAUCUACCGGUUAGCUCUCCUCCAAGCAAUGAGACUCAUCCUGUUCUUGAAAAGUUGAAGGCUGCAUACUGCUACAACCCAAAAGACUUUGACUGGAAUCUUAAAAAUGGCCGAGUGUUUAUUAUCAAGAGCUACUCUGAGGAUGAUAUCCAUCGCUCUAUCAAGUACUCCAUUUGGUGCAGUACUGAGCAUGGCAACAAACGCUUGGACAGUGCUUAUCGCUCGAUGGCUGGAAAAGCCCCUGUUUACUUACUAUUCAGUGUGAAUGGCAGUGGACACUUCUGUGGAGUGGCAGAAAUGAAAUCACCAGUGGACUAUGGUACAUGUGCCGGGGUUUGGUCACAGGACAAGUGGAAAGGCAAAUUUGACGUUAAGUGGAUCUUUGUAAAGGACGUACCUAAUAACCAGCUGAGGCAUAUCCGUUUGGAAAACAAUGAUAAUAAGCCAGUCACUAACUCUCGGGACACUCAGGAGGUUCCUUUAGAGAAAGCUAAGCAAGUGCUCAAAAUUAUUGCUACUUACAAGCAUACCACCUCAAUUUUUGAUGACUUUUCACAUUACGAAAAGCGUCAGGAAGAAGAGGAAGUUGUGCGUAAGAUCAUUGAACUCUAAGCUGAUGUUCUGCUUGUUUGCCAUGUACAUUUGUCAGCAAACAAGUCCUGGCUAGAUCAUUUGAGGGAGGAACUCCUUUUUGCUGGAUGAACCGAUUGAGAGCACGGACUGAACUUGAUGUAGCCAUUCUGAUCAAGGAUUAAUACCAGUUUGGAGAGGGAAAGGAGUUUGAGACAAACAGCAAACCAAUUUGAUGUCAGUUUUAAAUAGUUAACUAAAACAGUAUUAAAUGAUAAAAAUUUGUUUAGUUUUGUUGAUCUGAACCAGCAAAUGCAGCUAAUUGUUUUAAACAAAAUUGAGUACUUUGAUUUUGGCAUAGGAAAUUUGUGUUUCUUUUGUGCAAGUAUUUCCCCUGUUGGUGGGUGAAGUUACUGUGUAUGACAACAGUAACGUGCUAUCUUUUUUUUUUAAAAGAAAUCUCAAAUAGAUAUUCCUUUUGUUUAACUUUCUAGGACAAAAUUUCUCUGCCAGUGGCUUCUCAUUAUUUACAGCCACCGUUCCUAUGAAGCCACAGUCAUCCAAGCAUCAGGGAGAUUGAGCUGCAUCAGAGCCGCUGCAUCAGUCCUCAUCCUCUUCAAGUUUUGCUUCAAAGACUUCGGAUAUUGAUUAUACACUAGCUUACACCUGUAAAGUAUCUGAUGGUGUCUCAGUUCUAUCUUUAAGACUGUACAUCAACUAGACAUUUAUGAUGGAAUGUGAACCGGGCCUCAAAGUUCUGAAUCAGGCAGAAAGGGAAGAUGUUCUAAAGGCAAAAUCUUCCAUUUCACAUUAAUCAUUCAAGUUGAGAGUUUCAUUGGGAGAAGUCGAGGUUAACAGUUGGCAGUACAGGAGCGCCUGAAUCGAAACAAAUGAUAAGAAAACAUUUGACUUGAUGAAUUAAAAAAAAAACUGAAAACCUGGUGCUGUGACCUAGCAUCAGAAUGAAAACAAAAAUCAAAGCUUUCUGCUCCAGUGAUAUCUUUAUGUGCAGGGGAAUUAAGCUACAUCACGUUUUUAGUACAUUUCUGUUUUUGUUUUUGCCCAGACUGGUCUGCAUUUUGUUUGUAAUUUUGCACCUAAAUGCUGUCGCAGUCACUGGUAACUUCUGUUACACUGAAGCUUUAGCCUGCAUUUGUUUAGCAAUCCUAUGAAGAUGAGCCCAUUAAGCUCUUUUUUUUUAUAAAUGGGAAAUAUUACUGCAUCAGCCUUAUGUAGAUUGGAUGAUGUGAUGCUUUCAACGUUACUAGUUUUGGUGAUGUGUGUUAACUUUGAGCUUUCUGGUGUUCUUUUCAAGUCGCUGUUAAUUUGCAUUCUCUCAUGAAAAUCCCAAGGUCAUUUCUUUUUUUCUUCUUCUGUAAAGCUGAGCUUUAAUGUAGGAGCAAAUAGUGGAAACGAUGGUUGAUGUCUCAAAAAAUAUAAAUUGAUGCAAACGUCUCUUGAUUUUUGAGAUGAAAUAUUUUGAUUGUUUUUUUUCUGUCCGAAAGCUGUACUUUGCUGUACUGUAUGUCUGUGGAAUGAGGGAACCAUUGAAAUUGCUGCCGACUGGAUAAAGCAUGAAACGGUGCUCAUGCCUGUUGCUUUAGUUCACAGAAACUUGCACGUGUUUAUUGUAGAGGAACUUUACUAUCGUUAGAAACAAAACAAUUAACUCUUCUGAACCUAGUUACAAAAAUGGACCUCAAUUUAAAAAGAAAACUAUCAUUUAGACUUAUAUUUAGACAAUUUUAGUUAUGUCUAUAUUGCCUGUAAGGUAAAUGAACAUCAUUGGGUUGAUUUUCUUUCCUCUAGGAGAAUACAAGCCUUAAUAAACAAUAUCUAUUUAGCAA